GAUGAACGCUGGCGGCGUGCCUAAUACAUGCAAGUCGAGCGAACGGACGAGAAGCUUGCUUCUCUGAUGUUAGCGGCGGACGGGUGAGUAACACGUGGAUAACCUACCUAUAAGACUGGGAUAACUUCGGGAAACCGGAGCUAAUACCGGAUAAUAUUUUGAACCGCAUGGUUCAAAAGUGAAAGACGGUCUUGCUGUCACUUAUAGAUGGAUCCGCGCUGCAUUAGCUAGUUGGUAAGGUAACGGCUUACCAAGGCAACGAUGCAUAGCCGACCUGAGAGAGUGGGAGCCAACCGGGGAGGUGAGACAGGCACAAGACCACUACGGGAGGCGGCAGGCGGGUACUUGCCGAAGCGGGGGAGAGCAUGACGGAACAGCCCCGGGUGUGGGAUAACGUUGUUCCGAGCGUAAAACUGUGUUAUUGGGGAAAAACAUUUUUGAACGGAAAUGUACCCUUCUUGACGUUAAUUAAUAAAAAAGCCGGGGCUAACUACGUG
RNAcentral lists this ribosomal RNA (497 nucleotides) under uncultured bacterium. RNAcentral's name for it is "partial 16S ribosomal RNA". It matches the Rfam family "Bacterial small subunit ribosomal RNA", at positions 28 to 507 of the family's 1533-position model. The record is from RNAcentral.